Molecule: long non-coding RNA, 239 nt
Filed under: Citrus sinensis (sweet orange)
Lineage: Eukaryota; Viridiplantae; Streptophyta; Magnoliopsida; Sapindales; Rutaceae
Description: long non-coding RNA (CSIN_LNC003421)
Source: RNAcentral
UAUUUUCACAUUUCAUGAAAACAACUCAAAUUCAAAUGGUAGUUUUAUAGGCAUGGUAACCUACUAAACUAAUACAUUUCAUUAAAAUAAGACAAUUUCAUAUGAAUUCGAGCUGGAUUCAUGUGCUCGUGCUUCACUCUUAACAGACCUAACACCUACACAACAUAUUCAUUCUUCAAUGACUGUCUCUACAUGUAUAAUUCUUGAGCUCUUUCCCUUAAUUCUUGAGCUCUUUCCUU